This 253-nucleotide ribosomal RNA is filed under the name uncultured bacterium. Its description in RNAcentral is "partial 16S ribosomal RNA". It matches the Rfam family "Bacterial small subunit ribosomal RNA", at positions 524 to 776 of the family's 1533-position model. The record is from RNAcentral.
UACGUAGGUGGCAAGCGUUAUCCGGAAUUAUUGGGCGUAAAGCGCGCGCAGGUGGUUCUUUAAGUCUGAUGUGAAAGCCCCCGGCUCAACUGGGGAGGGUCACGCGAUACUGAUCGACUCGAAGGCAGGAGAGGGUAGUGGAAUUCCCGGUGUAGUGGUGAAAUGCGUAGAUAUUGGGAGGAACACCAGUGGCGAAGGCGGCUCACUGGACCGGAACUGACGCUGAGGCGCGAAAGCGUGGGGAGCAAACGGG